RNAcentral lists this ribosomal RNA (253 nucleotides) under uncultured bacterium. RNAcentral describes it as "partial 16S ribosomal RNA". It matches the Rfam family "Bacterial small subunit ribosomal RNA", at positions 524 to 776 of the family's 1533-position model. The record is from RNAcentral.
UACAGAGGUCUCAAGCGUUGUUCGGAUUCAUUGGGCGUAAAGGGUGCGUAGGCGGCGCGGUAAGUCGGGUGUGAAAUCUCGGGGCUUAACUCCGAAACUGCAUUCGAUACUGCCGUGAUUGAGGACUGGAGAGGAGACUGGAAUUUACGGUGUAGCGGUGAAAUGCGUAGAUAUCGUAAGGAAGACCAGUGGCGAAGGCGGGUCUCUGGACAAUUGCUGACGCUCAGGCACGAAAGCGUGGGGAGCAAAAGGG